AUGGAGAAAAAUAAAAGCAGGGUGGCUAUCACUACAGAUAUGUGGACGUCUGAACAUCAGAAAAGAGGCUACAUGGCUAUCAUAGCACAUUUCGUUGAUGAAUCCUGGAAGCUUCAGAGCUAUAUUAUGAGAUUUAUUUAUGUUCCAGCACCACAUACAACUCCUGUAAUUGCCGAGAUACUUCAUGAUGCACUGGUCGAAUGGUAUCUGGAAGAUAAGGUAUCUACAUUGACUGUUGAUAAUGCCACAACAAAUGAUGCUUGCAUUCCCAUAUUAGAGAAUCUGAUAGGUCCAAGUAAGCUUAUGUUAGGUGGCAAGCUUUUACAUAUGCGUUGUUGUGCGCAUAUUCUUAACCUGAUAGUCAAGGAUGGUUUGGAUGUGUUAGAAGAAUCGAUUGAGAAAAUCCGUGAGAGUGUUGCAUUCUGGACUAGCACACCUAAGAGAAUAGAGAAUUUUCAAGAGGUUGCCAAGAUGCUGAAAGUAGACCAAAGUAAAAAAAUUAUCCCUUGA
Molecule: ribosomal RNA, 510 nt
Filed under: Triticum aestivum (bread wheat)
Lineage: Eukaryota; Viridiplantae; Streptophyta; Magnoliopsida; Poales; Poaceae
Description: partial small subunit ribosomal RNA
Source: RNAcentral